GAUGAACGCUGGCGGCGUGCCUAAUACAUGCAAGUCGAGCGAACGGACGAGAAGCUUGCUUCUCUGAUGUUAGCGGCGGACGGGUGAGUAACACGUGGAUACCCUACCUAUAAGACUGGGAUAACUUCGGGAAACCGGAGCUAAUACCGGAUGAUAUUUUGAACCGCAUGGUUCAAAAGUGAAAGACGGUCUUGCUGUCACUUAUAGAUGGAUCCGCGCUGCAUUAGCUAGUUGGUAAGGUAACGGCUUACCAAGGCAACGAUGCAUAGCCGACCUGUGAGGGUGAUCGGCCACACUGGAACUGAGACACGGUCCAGACUCCUACGGGAGGCAGCAGUAGGGAAUCUUCCGCAAUGGGCGAAAGCCUGACGGAGCAACGCCGCGUGAGUGAUGAAGGUCUUCGGAUCGUAAAACUCUGUUAUUAGUGAAGAACAUAUGUGUAAGUAACUGUGCACAUCUUGACGGUACCUAAUCAGAAAGCCACGGCUAACUACGUG
RNAcentral lists this ribosomal RNA (497 nucleotides) under uncultured bacterium. RNAcentral describes it as "partial 16S ribosomal RNA". It matches the Rfam family "Bacterial small subunit ribosomal RNA", at positions 28 to 507 of the family's 1533-position model. The record is from RNAcentral.